CCUCAUAAAUCUAGCAAAAUCUAUCUCUCUCCUCACUCCCUCAUUUUCGAUCACCACCUUCUCUCCCUCAUCUCUCACUUCACCUCCAUUGACAACCAUUAACAAGACCUUCGGAGCUUCACAAAAUCACACCAAAAACACAAAUCACCCUCUAAAUCCACCUUAAACACCUUCCAUCUCCUUAGAUUCAAGAAGAUCCAUGGAGAUUCAAUCUUGAAGUUAGAGAGAGAAAGUUUGGUUUUGGGUGUAAGUUUGGACACAAGCAGAGCAAGGGAGUAAGUACCUCCGCCUUGACGGGAGAUUUUGAGUAAGGUCUUCAGGCUAAGCAAGGAGUGAGAUUGGUCUGGUGCUGGUGGGGGAUCGUUAGAUGACGAAUUUACUUUAUCGUAUUUCCUUUUUAUCGAUAAAGUCUUGAUGUGGAAUUACUUUGAAUAUGAAUCAAGUAAUAUACUCACGGUUAUGUGUCUUCAUACAUAUAAUCGGUUCGCCUUUUGCUGCGAUACUCUGCAUAUUAUGCUUCCUUAUGAAAAAUGAGCUAUACCCGUUUUGUUUUUGUUUGUGAAAUUCCUGAUAAAUAAAAAGUUAUAACGACGUUGACGAUUUUA
This is a long non-coding RNA of Salvia miltiorrhiza (redroot sage), 605 nucleotides long. RefSeq lists it as uncharacterized. Lineage: Eukaryota; Viridiplantae; Streptophyta; Magnoliopsida; Lamiales; Lamiaceae. The record is from RefSeq and is a predicted model, not a curated record. The transcript is spliced from 3 exons.